AAAGCUCCAAGAGACUAACUCCACACACCUAUACCAAAGGAAACAUGGGAAGAAGAGAAACAACCUGAGGGAGGGAUAAUCGAAACCAACCAUCGUGAAAUCAGAUAAUAAGUUUGACACCAUAAAUAACCUUCAAAAUCCACAUAGCAUACACACGUACGAAAACAUUAUCCAAACCUGGAGUGGUAAGCAUGGUGAAAGAGAGACCUACAAGAGAUGCAAGCACUGAUGAAAGCUGCAACGCGAUGAGAAAACAGAGAGGAAAAGAGAGACAAAACAAAAUCAGCAAACUGUGGAGCUGUCCUCGAACUAUGAAAGAGAGCAUAUAAGUCAAGAUCCCCAAAAACUAGAUCUUGAAAACCAAAACGAACAAGGACUAUUGACGGUAAACCAACGACGAGGAAUACAACAUCAAAGACGACUAAAAUCUGACCCAACCCAAAGAAAUACAGUUCUAACAUCAACCGAAAUCUAAGGAAGAAGAGGAGCAACCAAUAUUGACUGGAAAAGCCUACAACGUUGUGAGAAACAACCACACAACUGGGAACUCAUAAAGUCGAUCUACAACAAAUUCCGUAUAAUCUCACCGACGAAGAAGGCGAAGAAGAACAAGAGCAGGAGGUGAGUCUUUUUUCGGUGAUGGUGAGAAGCACCGCACACUAGAAAGGUAAACGAAAAACAGAGAGGUGACGACUCAAGGUCAAAAUAUGGGGAGAGGAAAAAAAACAUUUUAAAAGUUAUAAUUUUCAAAAAUAUGAAAAAAAUAAAAUAUAAUUUUGACGUUGAAACAAUUAAUCUUAAAAUCGACAAAGCCUUAUUGAAAAUUAAAUAUGCUUUUACAUUAUAUGC
This 849-nucleotide long non-coding RNA is filed under the name Brassica napus (rape). RNAcentral describes it as "long non-coding RNA (BNAP_LNC005217)". Lineage: Eukaryota; Viridiplantae; Streptophyta; Magnoliopsida; Brassicales; Brassicaceae. The record is from RNAcentral.